RNAcentral lists this ribosomal RNA (393 nucleotides) under uncultured bacterium. RNAcentral describes it as "partial 16S ribosomal RNA". It matches the Rfam family "Bacterial small subunit ribosomal RNA", at positions 523 to 918 of the family's 1533-position model. The record is from RNAcentral.
AUACGGAGGAUCCGAGCGUUAUCCGGAUUUAUUGGGUUUAAAGGGUGCGCAGGCGGGAGAUUAAGUCGGCGGUGAAAUUUUGCAGCUCAACUGUAAAAGUGCCUUCGAAACUGGUUUCCUUGAGUGUAGACGAAGUAGGCGGAAUUUGGGGGGUAGCGGUGAAAUGCAUAGAUAUCACGAGGAACUCCGAUUGCGCAGGCAGCUUACUAAACUACUACUGACGCUCAGGCACGAAGGCGUGGGGAUCAAACAGGAUUAGAUACCCUGGUAGUCCACGCAGUAAACGAUGAUUACUAGCUGUUUGCGAUACAAUGUAAGCGGCUGAGCGAAAGCGUUAAGUAAUCCACCUGGGGAGUACGUUCGCAAGAAUGAAACUCAAAUGAAUUGACGGGG